This 460-nucleotide ribosomal RNA is filed under the name uncultured bacterium. RNAcentral's name for it is "partial 16S ribosomal RNA". It matches the Rfam family "Bacterial small subunit ribosomal RNA", at positions 338 to 795 of the family's 1533-position model. The record is from RNAcentral.
CCUACGGGGAGCAGCAGUGAGGAAUAUUGGUCAAUGGACGAGAGUCUGAACCAGCCAAGUGGCGUGAAGGAUGACUGCCCUAUGGGUUGUAAACUUCUUUUAUAUGGGAAUAAAACGUUCCACGUGUGGGAUUUUGUAUGUACCAUAUGAAUAAGGAUCGGCUAACUCCGUGCCAGCAGCCGCGGUAAUACGGAGGAUCCGAGCGUUAUCCGGAUUUAUUGGGUUUAAAGGGAGCGUAGGUGGAUUGUUAAGUCAGUUGUGAAAGUUUGCGGCUCAACCGUAAAAUUGCAGUUGAAACUGGCAGUCUUGAGUACAGUAGAGGUGGGCGGAAUUCGUGGUGUAGCGGUGAAAUGCUUAGAUAUCACGAAGAACUCCGAUUGCGAAGGCAGUUCACUGGACUGCAACUGACACUGAGGCUCGAAAGUGUGGGUAUCAAACAGGAUUAGAUACCCGGGUAGUC